Molecule: ribosomal RNA, 439 nt
Filed under: uncultured bacterium
Lineage: Bacteria
Description: partial 16S ribosomal RNA
Rfam family: Bacterial small subunit ribosomal RNA
Source: RNAcentral
UAGGGAAUCUUCCACAAUGGACGCAAGUCUGAUGGAGCAACGCCGCGUGAGUGAAGAAGGUCUUCGGAUCGUAAAGCUCUGUUGUUGGUGAAGAAGGAUAGAGGCAGUAACUGGUCUUUAUUUGACGGUAAUCAACCAGAAAGUCACGGCUAACUACGUGCCAGCAGCCGCGGUAAUACGUAGGUGGCAAGCGUUGUCCGGAUUUAUUGGGCGUAAAGCGAGCGCAGGCGGAAUGAUAAGUCUGAUGUGAAAGCCCACGGCUCAACCGUGGAACUGCAUCGGAAACUGUCAUUCUUGAGUGCAGAAGAGGAGAGUGGAACUCCAUGUGUAGCGGUGGAAUGCGUAGAUAUAUGGAAGAACACCAGUGGCGAAGGCGGCUCUCUGGUCUGCAACUGACGCUGAGGCUCGAAAGCAUGGGUAGCGAACAGGAUUAGAUACC